RNAcentral lists this ribosomal RNA (396 nucleotides) under uncultured bacterium. RNAcentral's name for it is "partial 16S ribosomal RNA". It matches the Rfam family "Bacterial small subunit ribosomal RNA", at positions 338 to 732 of the family's 1533-position model. The record is from RNAcentral.
CCUACGGGAGGCUGCAGUGAGGAAUAUUGGUCAAUGGGCGCGAGCCUGAACCAGCCAAGUAGCGUGAAGGAUGACUGCCCUACGGGUUGUAAACUUCUUUUAUAUAGGAAUAAAGUGUGGCACGUGUGCCUUUUUGUAUGUACCUUAUGAAUAAGGAUCGGCUAACUCCGUGCCAGCAGCCGCGGUAAUACGGAGGAUGCGAGCGUUAUCCGGAUUUAUUGGGUUUAAAGGGUGCGCAGGCGGCUGGUUAAGUCAGUGGUAAAAGCUGGGGGUUCAACCGAGACGUGCAGUUGAAACUGGCAGUCUUGAGUAGGAUAGAGGUAGGCGGAAUGCGUGGUGUAGCGGUGAAAUGCUUAGAUAUCACGAAGAACCCCGAUUGCGAAGGCAGCGCACUGG